AUCAUCAAUUGGCAUCAAUUAAUGAAGAAAACUCCGGUGGUAAAAGAUGGGCAUGCGUCCUAUUAGUUAGUUGGUAAGGUAACGGCUUACCAAGACUUCGAUAGGUAGGGGUCCUGAGAGGGAGAUCCCCCACACUGGUACUGAGACACGGACCAGACUCCUACGGGAGGCAGCAGUGAGGAAUAUUGGACAAUGGAGGCAACUCUGAUCCAGCCAUGCCGCGUGCAGGAAGACGGCCCUACGGGUUGUAAACUGCUUUUAUACAGGAAGAACUAUAUCUACGUGUAGAUAUUUGACGGUACUGUACGAAUAAGGAUCGG
This 320-nucleotide ribosomal RNA is filed under the name uncultured Flavobacteriaceae bacterium. RNAcentral's name for it is "bacterial SSU rRNA". It matches the Rfam family "Bacterial small subunit ribosomal RNA", at positions 173 to 496 of the family's 1533-position model. Lineage: Bacteria; Pseudomonadati; Bacteroidota; Flavobacteriia; Flavobacteriales; Flavobacteriaceae. The record is from RNAcentral.